This 247-nucleotide long non-coding RNA is filed under the name Fukomys damarensis (Damara mole-rat). Its description in RNAcentral is "lncRNA (ENSFDAG00000030908.1)". Lineage: Eukaryota; Metazoa; Chordata; Mammalia; Rodentia; Bathyergidae. The record is from RNAcentral.
AAAGUGUACGGUCUGGAGAGUGGAUAACCUGAGGAUUUUUGCUGAGACGUGGGGUCCUUGCAUGGUUCAGAGACCUGUGCAUUUGUCACGCACCACUGCACUGCCUAGCAUUAGUCACCAUUCAGAACAUGCAUCUCUGUAGGAAUCAUGUCUUCAGGACCAAAUAGGAAAAGGAAAGAACGUGGAGCCCCUGAGAAUUUAAACACAGAGCCAACAACUCCAGUCUUGUCACCUUCAGACAGCCCAG